RNAcentral lists this non-coding RNA (616 nucleotides) under Pan troglodytes (chimpanzee). Lineage: Eukaryota; Metazoa; Chordata; Mammalia; Primates; Hominidae. The record is from RNAcentral.
GAGGCGGAGACAGAAGGCUCCGUUCCACUGGGCACGCCAGCGGUAGAGACGGGGUUUCACCAUGUUGGCCCGGCUGGUCUCAAACUCCUGAGCUCAGGCGAUCUGCCCGCCUCGGCCUCCCAAAGUGCUGGGAUUACGGGCGUGAGCCACUGCACCCGGUUCAAGCGAUUCUCCUGACUCAGCCCCCUGAGUAGCUGGGAUUACAGGCACGCGCCACCACUCCCAGAUCUUCGCUUCAGGUCAGCUCCAAGGAGGCUAUCCUUGCCCAUCUUCCUAAAAUAGAGCUCUCAAAACCUGGCUGUUUUCCUUCAGAGCACUGGCCUCCAAUUGCACCGGUAGAUGGCAAAUAACAUGCUUUCUUUCUGUUCCCGGGCUGCGUUCGGACCCCUGUCGGAGAGUAAAUCCCAACUAAGGUACCUGCCGUCGGCAGAUUUGAGCUUUCUUCUUGGACACGUAUUACCCACAGUCCUCCAGACUCUGGUAGAUUGCAUAUAACCUGCUUUCUUUCUGUUCCCGGGCGGCAUCAGACCCGUCGGAGAGUAAAUCCCAAGUAAGGUACCUGCCGUCGGCAGAUUGGAGCUUUCUUCUUGGACACCUAAUACCCACAGUCCUCCAG